GCUCAUGUCCAUACCACCCUGAGCUUGUCCAGUCUCGGAAGCUAAAAAGGGUUGAACACAGUUCAUUCUUGAAUGGAAGACCCCCUGGGAAUAGUGGGUGCUUUAAGCU
This 109-nucleotide ribosomal RNA is filed under the name Neolamprologus brichardi. Lineage: Eukaryota; Metazoa; Chordata; Actinopteri; Cichliformes; Cichlidae. The record is from RNAcentral.